This 1242-nucleotide long non-coding RNA is filed under the name Marmota monax (woodchuck). The record is from RNAcentral. Lineage: Eukaryota; Metazoa; Chordata; Mammalia; Rodentia; Sciuridae.
GUGGGUCUGGGCUUGUAGCUCAGUGGUAAAACACUUACCUUGCAUGUGUGAGAAAUUGGAUUCGAUUCUCAGCACCACAUAUAAAUAAGUGAAUAAAAUAAAUGUCCGUCAACAACUUAAAAAAUAAAUUAAAAAAAAAAUGGGCUGGGAUUAUGGCUCAGUGGUAGAGCGCUCGCCAAGCAUGAGCAGGACCCAGGUUCGAUCCUCAGCACCACAUAAAAAAAUAAAGGCAUUGUGUUGUGUCCAUCUACACCUAAAAAAUAAAUAUUAAAAAAAAAAUUAGUCUUGCUAGGCAUGGUGAUGCAUACCUGUAAUUCCAGUGGCACAAGAGGCUGAGGCAGGAGGAUUGCCGGUUCAAAGCCAGCCUUAGCAACAGCAAGGCACUAAGCAACUCAGUGAGACCCUGUCUUUAAAAAAAGAUACAAAAAGAGCUGGGGAUGUGGCUCAGUGGUUGAGUGUCCCUCAGUUCAAUCCCUGGUCUCUCCCCAACCCCUGCCAAAAAAAAAAAAUAGUCUCAUUCAUAUAUUAAAGGAAUAAAGAUAAAAACCUGCAUACUCAUUUUGAUAUAUGUAGAAAUAUUUAUUUGACAAAUUUCAACACUCAUUUAUAAUAAAAAUUCUCAUCAAACUAGAAAUAAAAGGGAAUUUCUUCUGUCUGAAAUUCAUGUCUAGUGUUAUAUUAGGUGGGCACAGUGGUACUUAGGUAUAGUUCUAGCUGCUUGGGAGGCUGAAAUGGAAAGCUCACUUGAGUCUAGGAGUUUUGAAACUAGUGUGGGCAACAUAGAGAUACCCUAUCUCAGAAUAAAUAAAUUAAUAAGAGUGAAAUACUGACGUUUUCUCCUAAGGUCAUGAACAAGGUAUGGUUUCCUGUGCUCACCAUUCCUAAUAAACAUUUUACUGCAGGUUCUACUCAGUGAAUUGAGGCAAGAAAAUUAAGUAAAAAGCAUAAAUAUUGGAAAAAAGUAAAAUUUUCUUUGUUCACAGACAAUAAGAUUGUUUACUUAGAAAAUCACAAUAAAUCAACCAAAAACCUAUGGAACUAAAAACUGAAUUUUAAUAGGUCAGGAUAUCAGAUUAAUAUAUCAGAAUCAAUAGUUUUGCAAGAGCUGUGGUACAUACCUGUAAUCCCAGCAACUCCAGAGGCUGAGGCAGGAGGAUUUCAAGUUUAAGACAGGAUUCAGCAAUUUAGUGAGACUCUGUCUCAAAAGAACAAUUUUUAAAAAGUGGGUGCUGGGUAUAUAGC